ACCUACUGUUUAAUUUUGAGGGUUCGUUUUUACGAAUACUCAAAAUUAGCACUUUAAGCAACGGGAUUUAUCCGUUGGCGCUGUGCGUUAGCACUUUGAAAACUUCACAUAUAUGUAUAGUGAUGUGCCGUGUAAUGUGUUAUGUAUCAAGCUGGGGCGAUUUUGAAAUGAUGGAACAUGAUAGCGUCUAAUCUAUGCGAACCUCGGGAAUUGGUCUAGUUGGUGAGGUCGCAGCGCGGAUGCCGUGUCACUCGUGUUUAAUUGAGCGGGUUCGUUUUUAGGAGUACUCAAAAUUAGCACUUUAAGCAGCGGGAUUUAUCCGUAGGCUCUGAGAAUUCGCACUAUACGCAACGGAAUUUAUUCGUGGGCGCUGUGCUUUCGCACUGUGAAAACCGCAUAUAUAUUUAGUGAUAUGACAUCUAAUUUGUAAUAUAUAAAGCUGAUAACUUUUUAAAAUUAUCGAAGUUGAUAGCUUCUAAUCUAUCAAACCUUUUUAACUGGUCAA
RNAcentral lists this unclassified non-coding RNA (505 nucleotides) under Clostridioides difficile. RNAcentral describes it as "16S-23S ribosomal RNA intergenic spacer (ISR)". Lineage: Bacteria; Bacillati; Bacillota; Clostridia; Peptostreptococcales; Peptostreptococcaceae. The record is from RNAcentral.